GCAGUCGAGCGGACCGACGGGAGCUUGCUCCCUUAGGUCAGCGGCGGACGGGUGAGUAACACGUGGGUAACCUGCCUGUAAGACUGGGAUAACUCCGGGAAACCGGGGCUAAUACCGGAUGCUUGAUUGAACCGCAUGGUUCCAUCCUAAAAGGGGGCUUUUAACUACCCCUUACCGAUGGACCCGCGGCGCAAUAACUAAUUGGUGAAGUAACGGCUCCCCCAGGCGACCAAGCCUAACCCAACUGAAAGGGUGAACGGCCCCCCUGGGACUGAAACCCGGCCCAAAAUCCUACCGGAAGCAGCAAUAAGGAAUCUUCCCCAAUGGACCAAAGUCUGAAGGAACAACCCCCCGUGAGUGAUGAAAGUUUUUCGAACCUAAAACUCUGUUGUUAAGGAAAAACAAGUACCGUUCGAAUAAGGCGGUCCCUUGACGGUACCUAACCCGAAAGCCCCGGCUAACUACGUGCCAGCAGCCGCGGUAAUACGUAAGUGGCAAGCGUUGUCCGGAAUUAUUGGGCGGUAAGCGGGGGCAGGGGGUUUCUUAAAUCCGAUGUGAAAGCCCCCGGCUCCACCGGGGAAGGUCCUUUGGAAACUGGGGAACUUGAGUGCAAAAGAAGAAAGUGGAAUCCACGUGUAGCGGUGAAAUGCGUAGAGAUGUGGAGGAACACCAGUGGCCGAAGCGACUCUUCUGGUCUGUAACUGACGCUGAGGCGCCGAAAGCGUGGGGGAGCGAACCAGGAUUUAGAUACCUGGUAGUCCACGCCGUAAACGAUGAGUGCUAAGUGUAAGAGGGUUCCGCCCUUAGUGCUUGCAGCAAACGCAUUAAGCACUCCGCCUGGGGAGUACGGUCGCAAGACUGAAACUCAAAGGAAUUGACGGGGGCCGCACAAGCGGUGGAGCAUGUGGUUUAAUUCGAAGCAACGCGAAGAACCUUACCAGGUCUUGACAUCCUCUGACAACCCUAGAGAUAGGGCUUCCCCUUCGGGGGCAGAGUGACAGGUGGUGCAUGGUUGUCGUCAGCUCGUGUCGUGAGAUGUUGGGUUAAGUCCCGCAACGAGCGCAACCCUUGAUCUUAGUUGCCAGCAUUCAGUUGGGCACUCUAAGGUGACUGCCGGUGACAAACCGGAGGAAGGUGGGGAUGACGUCAAAUCAUCAUGCCCCUUAUGACCUGGGCUACACACGUGCUACAAUGGGCAGAACAAAGGGCAGCGAAGCCGCGAGGCUAAGCCAAUCCCACAAAUCUGUUCUCAGUUCGGAUCGCAGUCUGCAACUCGACUGCGUGAAGCUGGAAUCGCUAGUAAUCGCGGAUCAGCAUGCCGCGGUGAAUACGUUCCCGGGCCUUGUACACACCGCCCGUCACACCACGAGAGUUUGUAACACCCGAAGUCGGUGAGGUAACCUUUUGAGCC
Molecule: ribosomal RNA, 1411 nt
Filed under: Bacillus sp. (in: firmicutes)
Lineage: Bacteria; Bacillati; Bacillota; Bacilli; Caryophanales; Bacillaceae
Description: bacterial SSU rRNA
Rfam family: Bacterial small subunit ribosomal RNA
Source: RNAcentral